Tetranychus urticae (two-spotted spider mite) is the source of this 364-nucleotide non-coding RNA. NCBI's taxonomy places the organism in Eukaryota, Metazoa, Arthropoda, Arachnida, Trombidiformes, Tetranychidae. The record is from RefSeq and is a predicted model, not a curated record.
CAUUCAAGCAAGUUAAAUUCAUCAUCGUCUACACCGUCGUCAUGCAAUUCAUUUCUAUGUAUUUUAUCCUAAUCUUGUUGGGUAUUCUAAUUUGCCCAUCAUUUUCAUGCAAAAACGACAAAGAAUGUGGACCAGAUGGACAUUGUAUUGGUGCAGCUCCUUGGAAGGAUGGCAAAUGUGAUGAGGGAUUGUUUAGAUAGUAGAAAAUUGACGCAACUUGAGGAUGAUUGCAUAUUAAUCAACAAUGAAAUUUAUGAGCAAAAAAUCGUCGAUGAUUUGUUUUCAUGUUAUCACACAAUUAGAAAUAAUACAUCUAUGUCCUCUGAACUUGAAUGAAUAAAUAAAUGCAUACUUUGAAUCAAUA